This 335-nucleotide long non-coding RNA is filed under the name Eutrema salsugineum. Its description in RNAcentral is "long non-coding RNA (ESAL_LNC000464)". Lineage: Eukaryota; Viridiplantae; Streptophyta; Magnoliopsida; Brassicales; Brassicaceae. The record is from RNAcentral.
GAGAAAAGAGAAGACUUUUAUCCAUUGUUGUUGUUGGAUCAGAAAUUCAGAAGGGAGGAAAAGCUUUUCCGUAUCGGUUAAUGUUGGAGAAAAGUCCAACAAGAUCUUGCUUGUACGGUAAAUAUGAUUUUCUCUUGUCUUCUUCCUUGAUUGCUUUGUUCCUCAAGUAAAACUUCUCAUGUGCAGAUACCUUCUCUUUCUCCUUCUUCUUCACCGUCGUCGUCUCCUUGUUCUUCGAAGAUUCGUUAAUGGAGCUCGGAUUCAGGAAUUUGAGCGACUGUUUCCCGUCGCUGUUACUUCUCUUUAGCAGAUCUCUGAUUCGCCACCGUCUCUUC